UUCCAGCUCUCCGAGUGGUAGGGAUGUUUAUUGGGCUUAAAGCGUCCGUAGCCGGCUUAGCAAGUCUCCUGUUAAAUUCAGCGACCUAAUCGUUGAGCCGCGGGAGAUACUACUAGGCUAGGAGGCGGGAGAGGUCAACGGUACUUCCGGGGUAGGGGUGAAAUCCUAUAAUCCCGGGAGGACCACCAGUGGCGAAGGCUGUUGACUAGAACGCGCUCGACGGUGAGGGACGAAAGCUGGGGGAGCGAACCGGAUUAGAUACCCGGGUAGUCCCAGCUGUAAACGAUGCGAGCUAGGUGUUGGGGUGGCUACGUGCCACUUCAGUGCCGCAGGGAAGCCAUUAAGCUCGCCGCCUGGGGAGUACGGCCGCAAGGCUGAAACUUAAGGAAUUGGCGGGGGAGCACCACAAGGCGUGAAGCUUGCGGUUC
Molecule: ribosomal RNA, 428 nt
Filed under: uncultured archaeon
Lineage: Archaea
Description: bacterial SSU rRNA
Rfam family: Archaeal small subunit ribosomal RNA
Source: RNAcentral